UGGGGAAUUUUGCGCAAUGGGCGAAAGCCUGACGCAGCGACGCCGCGUGGGUGAUGAAGGUCUUCGGAUUGUAAAGCCCUGUCGGGGGGGGCGAAUCAUCUCAUGGCUAAUAUCCAUGGGAUCUGACGGUACCCCCAAAGGAAGCACCGGCUAACUCCGUGCCAGCAGCCGCGGUAAUACGGAGGGUGCAAGCGUUGUUCGGAAUUACUGGGCGUAAAGCGCCUGUAGGCGGUUUAAGAAGUUGGGUGUGAAAUCCCCGGGCUCAACUCGGGAACUGCGCCCAAAACCAUUAAGCUUGAGUGCCAAAUGGGUACGUGGAAUUCCCAGUGUAGCAGUGAAAUGCGUAGAUAUUGGGAGGAACACCGGUGGUGAAGACGACGUACUGGAUGGUAACUGACGCUGAGAGGCGAAAGCGUGGGUAGCAAACAGG
This 430-nucleotide ribosomal RNA is filed under the name uncultured bacterium. Its description in RNAcentral is "bacterial SSU rRNA". It matches the Rfam family "Bacterial small subunit ribosomal RNA", at positions 355 to 776 of the family's 1533-position model. The record is from RNAcentral.